This is a long non-coding RNA of Eleginops maclovinus (Patagonian blennie), 2686 nucleotides long. RefSeq lists it as uncharacterized. Lineage: Eukaryota; Metazoa; Chordata; Actinopteri; Perciformes; Eleginopidae. The transcript has 4 exons. The record is from RefSeq and is a predicted model, not a curated record.
UUAUUUGAACAGAUUUUCAGGUAGAACAUCCACAAUGAUGGAAGAAAGAACAGAGAAGAGUUUCUCAUUUACAAAUGUUGGAGGCACAGUUUAAUGAAAUACUUCACUGACAGUUUUAUUGGAUGGACUAAACUAUGACUUGUUCUAUUUCCUAUUUUACAUUUUCUUUGUGACAAAUCCUACCAAACAACUGAUAACUGCCUCAAGUGAAAUAGCUCGGUGUGAUACAACACUUCUCUGGUGAGCUGAAGUCUUAGGUUCGAAUCCCGGGACAUCCAGGCAUUUUCAAGUCUAACACCCAAAGUGGAGAAUGAGUUUACCAAAUGAAGGUUCUGUCUCUCAGGACAAAUAGCUCAGAGGGAUAAGUGACAGGUCAGUAGACCUGAGGUUGUGUGUUCAAAUCCUUUGUGAGCUGUAGUGAUUUUUAAAGUGCUUUACUCAGUGGAGAAGCUAAAUGUGCCCGGAGAACAGAGCUUCAUGUACAUGUAUGUGGCCUCAGGGGUUUGUUCGCGGCACGUAGGCGCCCGUGUCGAGUUCAGAUCCACCACUUAAGUGUACGGGGUUCGAAUACCGAACAAGGCAGAUAGUUACAAUAGGUCAGAGGUAGAUCAGUGAGGCAGAGUAGGAAGGCAGGCAGAGAAGGAGAGGCAGACACAUUAGGAAGGCAGGCAUGAAGGAGAGGCAGGCAGACACAGUAGGCAGGCAGGCAUGAAGGAGAGGCAGACGUAGGCAGGCAGGCAUGAAGGAGAGGCAGACGUAGGCAGGCAGGCAUGAAGGAGAGGCAGGCAGACGUAGGCAGACACAGUACGAAGGCAGGCAGACAAGGAGAGGCAGGACUCAGAUAGAGUAAAGUAGGGGUCAGGAUAAGGAAGUACAGAAAAAGAGAAUUUUUUUUUUUGUAAUUUUUGGGUUUUUUUGGUUCCUGAAAGCAGCAGUGCAGCCGCAGGGGGGAUUUGAACCCUGGCUGCCAGGAUUCUUUUUUGGCUCACUGUGCACCUGCUCUACCAGGACUUUCUGCUGACAUUUAAAAGUGUGUGCUUACUAAGACUUUUAAAUGACAUACUUUACCACGAGUGGAGGAAGAAGAGGACGAGGAUGAUGUGAAGAGACCCGGCUGUCCUCAGGUUUGGUCCAGAAACUCUGCACUCACCUGGGGAGAAAUGAAGAGAGGGACAGCAUUAGGAUUAUUCUGGUUUAAGACAUUUUAAACUUUUUCAGGGAUUUAUUUAUCAGCAUAUGUUUGACUUUCUUUCUAAAAGCUAUUUUAUCUUAUUGUAAUUACAACAAAUAUUAAAAAUGUGAUUUUUAUGCUGCUGCAACGAAAACAUUUCCCAAAUUGGGAUCAAUAAAGUACUUCUAUCCAUCUAUAAUUAAACAUAUCUUUUCUCAGGAAACAUCAACAUGAUUGUUUAUGAUAAACUACAAUAUUAUAUUUGUCACACGAUUCUAAACUAUGACUUAAUAUGACUCUAAAUCAAGCCACUCUACAUCAAGUCACCUUUUCACUGCAGGACUUUUACUGUGUGCUUUACUGGGAGCUAACCUGACUCUCGCGCUCACCAACAGCACUGUCUACUAACAGUAUUUACUCACCAACGCUGACGGGAUAGCACAAUGUGCAGGCUGUUAGCAGUGAAGGUAAAACACCAACAAGUGUAUCCACACCGGCGCCAUCAAGCUGCUUCUCUCCCAGGUGUUGCACGAUGAUACUUCCGGGGUGUGUCCUGCAGAGAGGCUGCAGAGGCUGAAUGCAUCACGUGUGCUCUGUAGACAGCAUGAGGGCUAGGACAUCUGACGUCAAUGAAGACGGAGGCUUCUUGAGUUUCUGAAAAACUUAAGGUGCUGUACUCUGACUUUUUUCUGAUGUCUUCAACAUACUAUACUGUGUCGUUGUUUCUGACAUUUCCAAUAGACUGUACUGACGUUAUGGUGUCUUUUUAUUCUUUACUCCCCACCUGAGUCCAAGAAUAUCUGCUGGAGGAGUCCAAGGACAUUUGCUGGAAGAGUCCAAGGACAUUUGCUGGAAGAGUUCAAGGACAUUUGCUGGAAGAGUUCAAGGACAUCUGCUGGAGGAGUCCAAGGACAUCUGCUGGAAGAGUGAUAGGACAUCUGCUGGAGGAGUGAUAGGACAUCUGCUGGAGGAGUGAUAGGACAUCUGCUGGAUGAAUGAUAGGACAUCUGCUGGAGGAGUGAUAGGACAUCUGCUGGAGGAGUGAUAGGACAUCUGCUGGAGGAGUGCAUGCAAGGACAUCUGACAUCAAUGAAGACGUCGUCUUCUUGAGUUUCUGGAAAACUUAAGCAGUGCAGCGAUUUACCCCACCAGCCACAGCAUCAAUGAAGACCAUGGCGUCCUAAGCUUCUGACCCACUUGGGGACAUUUCUGAUUUUAUGUAAAUGUAUGUUAAUUGUAUGUAUUAGUAUUAUUAGUAUCAGUAUUAGUUUUAGUAUUAGUACUAUUUAGCAGACUGGGGCCCUCCCUGCUGCCCGGGCAGGCCCUCCACUGACGGGCAUUCUCUCCCCACCCCGGCCAGGCCCCCCGCUGCCGGGCCAGCCUCUCUCAACCGGCUAGCCACCCGCCCCUUAGUUAGCACACUUAGCACACUUAGCAUACUUAGCAUACUUACUUAGGUAUGCUAAGUAUAGGGGACUUUGCUGCAUUGAAUAAAAUGUUUGUAUGAAACUCAAA